AAAGAAAUCGUUAAGGGCGUAUGGCGGAUGCCUAGGCUUUCAGAGGCGAAGAAGGACGUGGUAAGCUGCGAAAAGCUCGGGGGAUUGGCACACACGAAUUGAUCCCGAGAUGUCCGAAUGGGGCAACCCGGCAUGUUGAAGACAUGUCACUCUAAUUUAUUAGAGAGCAAACCCGGAGAACUGAAACAUCUAAGUACCCGGAGGAAAAGAAAUCGAAGAGAUUCCGUAAGUAGUGGCGAGCGAAAGCGGAUUAGCCCAAAAGUCUUUAUAUAUUUAGAAGAACGUACUGGAAAGUGCGGCCAUAGACGGUGAUAGCCCGGUAAUCGAAAGGUAUAUAGAGAUGAUCAAUGAGUAGGGCGGGACACGUGAAAUCCUGUCUGAAUAUGGGGGGACCAUCCUCCAAGGCUAAAUACUCGUGAUCGACCGAUAGUGAACCAGUACCGUGAGGGAAAGGCGAAAAGAACCCCGGAAGGGGAGUGAAAUAGAUCCUGAAACCGUAUGCAUACAAACAGUAGGAGCCUCCUUGUGGGGUGACUGCGUACCUUUUGUAUAAUGGGUCAGCGACUUACAUUCAGUGGCAAGCUUAACCGAAUAGGGAAGGCGUAGCGAAAGCGAGUCCGAAUAGGGCGUCUGAGUCGCUGGGUGUAGACCCGAAACCAAGCGAUCUAUCCAUGGCCAGGUUGAAGGCACGCUAACACGUGCUGGAGGACCGAACCCACUAAUGUUGAAAAAUUA
Molecule: non-coding RNA, 735 nt
Filed under: Oryza sativa Indica Group (long-grained rice)
Lineage: Eukaryota; Viridiplantae; Streptophyta; Magnoliopsida; Poales; Poaceae
Description: Bacterial large subunit ribosomal RNA
Rfam family: Bacterial large subunit ribosomal RNA
Source: Rfam by way of RNAcentral